AGUGAACGCUGGCGGUAGGCCUAACACAUGCAAGUCGAACGGCAGCACAGUAAGAGCUUGCUCUUACGGGUGGCGAGUGGCGGACGGGUGAGGAAUACAUCGGAAUCUACUUUUUCGUGGGGGAUAACGUAGGGAAACUUACGCUAAUACCGCAUACGACCUACGGGUGAAAGCAGGGGAUCUUCGGACCUUGCGCGAUUGAAUGAGCCGAUGUCGGAUUAGCUAGUUGGCGGGGUAAAGGCCCACCAAGGCGACGAUCCGUAGCUGGUCUGAGAGGAUGAUCAGCCACAAUGGAACUGAGACAAGGUCCAGACUCCUAAGGGAGGCAGCAGUGGGGAAUAUUGGACAAUGGGCGCAAGCCUGAUCCAGCCAUACCGCGUGGGUGAAGAAGGCCUUCGGGUUGUAAAGCCCUUUUGUUGGGAAAGAAAAGCAGCAGGUUAAUACCCCGCUGUUCUGACGGUACCCAAAGAAUAAGCACCGGCUAACUUCGUG
Molecule: ribosomal RNA, 492 nt
Filed under: uncultured bacterium
Lineage: Bacteria
Description: partial 16S ribosomal RNA
Rfam family: Bacterial small subunit ribosomal RNA
Source: RNAcentral